UGGGGAAUCUUAGACAAUGGGCGCAAGCCUGAUCUAGCCAUGCCGCGUGAGCGAUGAAGGCCUUAGGGUUGUAAAGCUCUUUCAGAUGGGAAGAUAAUGACGGUACCAUCAGAAGAAGCCCCGGCUAACUCCGUGCCAGCAGCCGCGGUAAUACGGAGGGGGCUAGCGUUGUUCGGAAUUACUGGGCGUAAAGCGCGCGUAGGCGGAUUGGAAAGUUGGGGGUGAAAUCCCGGGGCUCAACCUCGGAACUGCCUUCAAAACUCCCAGUCUUGAGUUCGAGAGAGGUGAGUGGAAUUCCGAGUGUAGAGGUGAAAUUCGUAGAUAUUCGGAGGAACACCAGUGGCGAAGGCGGCUCACUGGCUCGAUACUGACGCUGAGGUGCGAAAGCGUGGGGAGCAAACAGG
RNAcentral lists this ribosomal RNA (404 nucleotides) under uncultured bacterium. RNAcentral describes it as "bacterial SSU rRNA". It matches the Rfam family "Bacterial small subunit ribosomal RNA", at positions 355 to 776 of the family's 1533-position model. RNAcentral also lists the same sequence under 1 other name. The record is from RNAcentral.